GGCUGAGUCCAUAACUCAUUUUAUACCUUUAUAUUUGGCCCAUGUAUUUAAAUAACUUAGAGGGGUUACAGUUAUUAUAUCAUGAUUAGAGAAAAUCAGAAAUAGGAAUAAAUUGUCUUCCUCGGCGUUGGAGAAGAACUCGCUGCGCAGGUAAAAGGAUACCAUCCUUGUCUAGUUUUUUUCAAAUUUUCGUUGAAUAGGAUUCACUUGAAUUAGAUUGAAUUGUAUAUUAAUUGUUAUUAUAUUGGUAAUGUGGGGUUAGUAUAGUUGUCAGUAGGGUGUAAGUUUGGAUCUGCAAAUGUUUUUCUUUCUUAUUGAGAAAAUAUAGUAAGUGGGGACAAGCUUAUAAGCCAAUCAUUAGGCAAUCAUGACAAUAAUGACAAUUGAAAUGUAUUUAUUUUUUUGUUAGGCAUUAAACAAUACUUUGCAAGGGGUUACGUACAUACUAGUGCAGUUCGUAAUCAGUUGUGUGAGGUCGAUCCUUUUAAGUUAAUUAUUAAAUAUAGGCUUAAGUUUAAUAUAUGCAUAUAGGUAAUUAAUUAUUAGUGUAUAUUAUAUAAUUUAACAUUGAAUUCAAGGGUAUUGGGAGAUGUUAAAGUUAAGUUCUUGGCUGGAAAUUUAGCAAGUAUGAAAAAAUUUGGCAUACCAAUAUAUAUCAAGAUUGGGAGUUUGGUCGGAAAUAUGAGUGAGUUUAGCGUCUAUGAUAGACAUAUAAUAAUUUGAAUGUCUACAAAAAGUUGCUUACUUAUGAAUAUUGCAUAAUUGGUAGAUUGGGAACGUUCCGAAACUUAGCGAAAAGGGAAGGAACUAUCUUGAAGAUUCGUGGCACAAGGUUCGGCUCUUAAGGUAUGUUAAGACUUUUAGACUUGUUGAAGGACGUUUUCCUAAUUAAAGAUUAAAAAUGAAAAUAGACAAAGAGGUAAGGGAGAAAGAUGGGGGUCUCGUAUCAAUGGUGUGACGGGCAUUGGUACGAUUACCGGUGUUAUAAAACGGAUAAUUACUACUAUAGAAUGUGGAUUGUAAUUUGAGAAUGCCAAGCAUAUGGGCAUUAGGUGAUGUAUUAUUGACUUGAAAUCCUAGUGUGAUGGUGUUUUCUUUGUUACACCCGUAUAGUUGUGAUUAUUGAGGUGGUUAUGUAUUAUGUUCAUAUUGAUUGAUUGAGAUGCAUCAUCAUACCCUCUAUUGAAGUAAUAUUGUGCACAUGCAUAGACAUGAUACUGAGUAUAAGUUGGGCACGUGGAGAUCGUUCGUGCUGGGGAUAGUGAGAUGUUAAGAUUGUAAUUUGGGCACGUGGAGACCGUUCGUGCGAAAAUUGUUUGAUAUUAUGAUAGUGCGUUGAGAUCGUCCGCACAGACACGUGGAGAUCGUCCGUGUCGGUAUAUGGACCUCGCGAGUCCCCCAUGGAUUAUGAACUCUCGAUGUAUUUUUGAGGAGUAUCAUGUAUAUACGGUUGAGUGAGUACUGGGUAUUAUGAGACAUAUCAUUACAUGGUAUCAUAGUGCUUUGCAUUUCAUCCCAUCAUUCAUUCUUGAUAAUUAUAUGUUUCGUUUGGUGUUUGGAAAAUACUUAAUGUUGAUUUCUUUAUUGAUGAAACUUAAAUAGUAAUUGUAAUAUA
This 1615-nucleotide long non-coding RNA is filed under the name Solanum lycopersicum (tomato). RNAcentral's name for it is "long non-coding RNA (SLYC_LNC001171)". Lineage: Eukaryota; Viridiplantae; Streptophyta; Magnoliopsida; Solanales; Solanaceae. The record is from RNAcentral.